This 64-nucleotide transfer RNA is filed under the name uncultured Niameybacter sp. It matches the Rfam family "tRNA", at positions 7 to 64 of the family's 71-position model. From Rfam's summary of the family: Transfer RNA (tRNA) molecules are approximately 80 nucleotides in length. Their secondary structure includes four short double-helical elements and three loops (D, anti-codon, and T loops). Lineage: Bacteria; Bacillati; Bacillota; Clostridia; Lachnospirales; Lachnospiraceae. The record is from RNAcentral.
AUCGUUAGCUUAGUUGGUAGAGCAUCAGACUCUUAAUCUGAGGGUCCUGGGUUCGAGUCCCAGA